This is an RNA transcript of Electrophorus electricus (electric eel), 2156 nucleotides long. It is a transcript of the gene named C-type lectin domain family 17, member A-like, with no coding region annotated. The record is from RefSeq and is a predicted model, not a curated record. NCBI's taxonomy places the organism in Eukaryota, Metazoa, Chordata, Actinopteri, Gymnotiformes, Gymnotidae.
UUUCACAUUCUUAAUCUCAUAUCUUUACUUUUAUUCUUUUUUAAAAACUCUAUAUAGGUAUGUAUAUUGGAAUACUUUCCACAAUAUUUGUUUCAAUAGUUAUUUAAGUGCAACUCAUUCUCUUUAGAUUUACAGUAUUUUACUAUACUGUCUUUUGAUACAUGUUGUACUGAUACUGUUAGACAUUUUGAAUCUGAGAUCAGUUUCCCAUCUGGGAUUAACAAAGUGUAAAUGUUAUAAAUCUUGCCUAUCACAGUAAUUUCCACUGAGAGUUUACACAGAGCUAUUCUUCAAUUUAAACUAAAGGAUGGGCUUCAGGGUAGUAACCAGCAGAUUGUGUCUGUAGUUCAUUUAAAAAGAUAGUUUUAUUUUUAGAUGAUGACGAUAUAUAAAUUACUUGAUUAAUUAGUCUGAUUGUUUUGUGGACUUCAUUCAGGAAUGUGCAUAUUUAUUUUUCAUUGAUCUAGACCUCCCAGCAGAUCUGGUAGUAAUGAAUUAGUGAUGCUUAAGAUCCAGAGAACAAGCAACAGCUGAUUUAAACAAAUAUUUCUCCAAAUAUGUUCACUGGCCAGCAAACUAUAAAUGUGGGAAUUUAAUUCAGUGUCAAUUCACAGAAAUAUAAAGAAAGAAAGCUGGGACAGGCGAGCACAUUACCAUGAAAUUGAUCAUUACAUUUACAGCGGUACAUGUAAUUUAUGGUAUUUGCUAUCUGUUUGUGUUGCUCUAUGUGGGGGAGACCUCAAGAGAGCUCCACAAAUGGAUAUGCAUAGUGCUAUCCAGUUGCAGAGUAUUUUAUGUCUGAAUUAUUUGUCUGAAUUCUUCUAUUUUUGCAUUGAAAAAAAAUAGGCUAUUGUUCUGUCAUCCAGGGCAAUAUUAAUAGGGAUCGCUGUGCUGGGAGAUGGAAACUUUUUAUAUACAUCUGCUUGAUAAACUGUUCCCAAGCAGGCAAGCAAAGUUAUUUAUAUAGCGCUUUUUACAACUACUGUUUUUACAGGUACAUAUGCCUGGGUCCACCAAGCUGUACAUAUAUGUACCCUCUGGUUAUUUCCUGUUGUGGUUAUUCAAGUUAUUCAUAGAUGCACCAGAUAGAAUUAUGAGAAUUAAAUGCAUAAAAUCGUAGAAAAGCAUCUAGAGUUUUUACUCAGAGGUUUAUUUUAAGUGUUUCUCAGCCAUUACAGCACAUAGGUCCCAUUGGUUUUAUUUGGACCAUUUUAAUUUUGUCAGAGCUAGUGAGCCAAUGAAUCAUGUAAUCUUGUGUGUUCUGCAUAGUGCAGUUCUACGAACAUCAUACGCAUGGAGAGAGAAUUAAACACACAAUAGUGGUUUCGCACAAAUCCAAAUAUGAGCAAAAUGUUUUGGGUGAUGUUUUUACACUUCCUGUCUGUCCGAAUAUAAAUAACAGGGUUCACUUCCUGAUGUUAGGGAGUGUGAAGCUUCGGUGUGUACAGAAGCUUCUAAAAUGAAAAACACCAAUGAAAAUUAAUAUUGGACCCUCCAAUAGGCCCUUGGAUAAAACAUCCACAGAAUCAGAGGAUGAUGCUUAUAUAAAUUGUGAGGGACUGGACUGGCAUCAAAACCCCAAAGAACCCAUAGGGAUUGCUCACAGAUGCCUCUGAGCAGACUGUCCUGUCAGUCCGAAAGAGGAGACCUCCUUUCUCCAACAGAUCUCUGAAGGUCCUUCUGGUUGGCCUCUCUGUCCUUCUGCUCUGUGCUUUAGGAUCAGUCUGUGCUCUAGGGAGUCUAUUCCAAAAAAGUGCUCCCCUUUGACACAUUAAGAGGGCAGUUUGCUAUAGCAGAAGCCAUACUGUUAAUGCAGGAACAAAGUGCUACAGGUGUUUUUUUCUUCACUUGUUAAAGAAACUUAUUGGAUUGGGCUGAACGAUUUGGAGACUGAGGGAAAGUGGAAAUGGGUAAAGGGCGAGCCCCUGAAUAACAUAACGUUCUGGUAUAUGAUGAGAGAUGAACCAGACGAGCCUGAUUACUGGAAGUAUGAGGACUUUUCAGGAGAGAACUGUGCCAGUCUGAGAAAUGGUGGAUGGUUUGAUUCUUGUUGCCGUAAACAACAAACAUAUCUGUGAAAAGUAACAAACUGAAUUCUCCUCAAACGGCACUGUUGUACAUGAGCUUUUGUGCAAAUAAAUAAACAAAUGUCAUCA